AGCACGGGUGCUUGCACCUGGUGGCGAGUGGCGAACGGGUGAGUAAUGCGUCGGAACGUACCGAGUAAUGGGGGAUAACGCAGCGAAAGUUGUGCUAAUACCGCAUACGCCCUGAGGGGGAAAGUGGGGGACCGCAAGGCCUCACGUUAUUCGAGCGGCCGACGUCUGAUUAGCUAGUUGGUGGGGUAAAGGCCUACCAAGGCGACGAUCAGUAGCGGGUCUGAGAGGAUGAUCCGCCACACUGGGACUGAGACACGGCCCAGACUCCUACGGGAGGCAGCAGUGGGGAAUUUUGGACAAUGGGGGCAACCCUGAUCCAGCCAUUCCGCGUGAGUGAAGAAGGCCUUCGGGUUGUAAAGCUCUUUCAGCUGGAACGAAACGGUACGCGCUAACAUCGUGUGCUAAUGACGGUACCGGCAGAAGAAGCACCGGCUAACUACGUGCCAGCAGCCGCGGUAAUACGUAGGGUGCGAGCGUUAAUCGGAAUUACUGGGCGUAAAGCGUGCGCAGGCGGAUUGUUAAGCAAGACGUGAAAUCCCCGGGCUUAACCUGGGAAUGGCGUUUUGAACUGGCAGUCUAGAGUGCGUC
Molecule: ribosomal RNA, 588 nt
Filed under: uncultured bacterium
Lineage: Bacteria
Description: bacterial SSU rRNA
Rfam family: Bacterial small subunit ribosomal RNA
Source: RNAcentral